This 624-nucleotide ribosomal RNA is filed under the name uncultured fungus. RNAcentral describes it as "eukaryotic LSU rRNA". The stretch from base 283 to 436 matches the Rfam family "5.8S ribosomal RNA". The record is from RNAcentral. Lineage: Eukaryota; Fungi.
AAGUCGUAACAAGGUUUCCGUAGGUGAACCUGCGGAAGGAUCAUUACUAGAGCAAAGGAUAGACAGCGCCCGCGGAGCCUUGCUCCCUGGGGCUACCCUACUUCGGUAAGGUUUAGAGUCGUCGGGCCUCUCGAAGAAGCUCGGUCCUGAACUCCACCCUUGAAUAAAUUACCUUUGUUGCUUUGGCGGGCCGCCUCGUGCCAGCGGCUUCGGCUGUUGCGUGCCCGCCAGAGGACCACAACUCUUGUUUUUAGUGAUGUCUGAGUACUAUAUAAUAGUUAAAACUUUCAACAACGGAUCUCUUGGUUCUGGCAUCGAUGAAGAACGCAGCGAAAUGCGAUAAGUAAUGUGAAUUGCAGAAUUCAGUGAAUCAUCGAAUCUUUGAACGCACAUUGCGCCCUCUGGUAUUCCGGGGGGCAUGCCUGUUCGAGCGUCAUUAUAACCACUCAAGCUCUCGCUUGGUAUUGGGGUUCGCGGUCUCGCGGCCCCUAAAAUCAGUGGCGGUGCCUGUCGGCUCUACGCGUAGUAAUACUCCUCGCGAUUGAGUCCGGUAGGUUUACUUGCCAGCAACCCCUAAUUUUUACAGGUUGACCUCGGAUCAGGUAGGGAUACCCGCAGAACUUA